UACGUAGGGGGCUAGCGUUGUCCGGAUUUAUUGGGUGUAAAGAGCGUGUAGGCGGCCAGGUAGGUCUGGUGUGAAAACUCGAGGCUUAACCUCGAGAUGUCAUCGGAAACCAUCUGGCUAGAGUCCGGAAGAGGAGAGUGGAAUUCCUGGUGUAGCGGUGAAAUGCGCAGAUAUCAGGAAGAACACCAAUGGCGAAAGCAGCUCUCUGGGACGGUACUGACGCUGAGACGCGAAAGCGUGGGGAGCGAACAGG
RNAcentral lists this ribosomal RNA (253 nucleotides) under uncultured bacterium. RNAcentral describes it as "partial 16S ribosomal RNA". It matches the Rfam family "Bacterial small subunit ribosomal RNA", at positions 524 to 776 of the family's 1533-position model. The record is from RNAcentral.